RNAcentral lists this long non-coding RNA (1554 nucleotides) under Sus scrofa (pig). RNAcentral describes it as "lncRNA (ENSSSCG00060064725.1)". The record is from RNAcentral. Lineage: Eukaryota; Metazoa; Chordata; Mammalia; Artiodactyla; Suidae.
UUUUUCUUUUUGGUCUUUUGAGGGCCACACCCAAGGCAUAUGGAGGCUCCUAGGCUAAGGGUCGAAUCAGAGCCGUAGCUGCUGGCCUACGCCAUGGCCAUGGCAAUGCCAGAUCCGAGCCGCGUCAGUGACUUACACCAGAGCUCACGGCAACGCUGGAUCUUUAACCCCUUGAGUGAGUCCAGGGAGCGAACCUGUGUCCUCAUGGAUGCUAGUCAAAUUUGUUUCCACUGAGCCACGAAGGGACUCUGGGGCUGAGACUCAAAACCAUGUACUUCCCGCCCUGAUGCUUCAACAGGUGUGUGGACUAAGCUCCCCAGUGCCUUUCCUACACUCAGUUCCUUCUCCACUAUGAACCACUCCCUGGUAACGUUCCCGACCCACAGGUCCAUCAGGUCAGUCGUGUGCUCAGGGAACCAAGCACAGGCUGUCACCGUUCCUAAUGGUCCUGUCGUAACCGUACUCAUCCCUGCUCGUUCCUCUGGGUAGAGGCUGGCAGCCCCCUGUAAAGGGACACAUAAGAAAUAUUUUUGGCUUUCAGGCCACAUGCUGCAACUCACCUUGGCCAACAUGGUGCAGAAGUAGCCAUGGACACCUGGCCAUGGACAUGGCGUGGACGGACACCUGUCGGCUGCCAGUGGGUGCUCAGUGCUGGGUAUGCAAAGUGAAAGGCCAGUCUCGUGUGUGAGCUUGUGUCUACUGGGCUGACAGGUGGGUGAAGAGAAUUCAGCAGGAGGAAGGAGCCCUGCCUCUGACUUGCCCUGGCACCUUCUCUCUACAACGAAACACCUCCUGCUUCGCUAUCGACACCCUGGAAUAAAGGCCUCUCCGGAGGAGGCACCAAGGCCCCUCACAUGCAGUGGGUACUGAAAAAACUACCAAUUCUUGAAAUGGCUCAAGCGAAUUAAAGCACAUUGAAACGAACAGUGCCUUAGGUCUGUCCGACACAGUCACAACAUUUUCGAGCUUUGCGAUGUCUCAAUGUGUAACAUACUUUGUUACGGUGAGGGGACAGAUUCAUAAAGAACAUGACUGAAAACCAAACAGGAAAUGAGUAGGAGCUGGAGGCUCAUCUACGUGUUUCUUUACAUAUAUCGAACGACAAUGAUAACAAAACAACAGCCCUGUGACCGUCCUUCCUGGGCGCGGCGACGUACUUUGCAGAGCAGCACUUGGCAAGAUCACACCAAGGCGAUGCCACUGCUCCGGGGUAGACGAGGGAGGUGCACACGGGCUGGGCUGGGAAUCCUAUGAGGGACGCCGAGUGCUGGGACGGACCCCUCUUUAAAUUAGACCUCCUAUCAAAACGCCGUCACAGGGGCCCUGCCGGUUAUAAAUGCGCUAUACUGGACCGGGAGAAAAUUCCAGGGGUGCUUACAAAACCUCGCUAGAAGCGUUAAACAUUCCCAGCCGUUUUCAUUAUUUGUCAUUCAGCAAAUGUGAAUAUUUCUUUUUGUAUUCCUACUGAAGCUUGAAAUUAACAUGGCUUUUUGUUUAUUUCUUCAUUUCUGCACUCUUGUCAGGAACACACUUUGUUAGCUGGCUGCUGCAGAG